RNAcentral lists this ribosomal RNA (465 nucleotides) under uncultured Klebsiella sp. Its description in RNAcentral is "bacterial SSU rRNA". It matches the Rfam family "Bacterial small subunit ribosomal RNA", at positions 338 to 795 of the family's 1533-position model. The record is from RNAcentral. Lineage: Bacteria; Pseudomonadati; Pseudomonadota; Gammaproteobacteria; Enterobacterales; Enterobacteriaceae.
CCUACGGGUGGCUGCAGUGGGGAAUAUUGCACAAUGGGCGCAAGCCUGAUGCAGCCAUGCCGCGUGUGUGAAGAAGGCCUUCGGGUUGUAAAGCACUUUCAGCGGGGAGGAAGGCGGUGAGGUUAAUAACCUCAUCGAUUGACGUUACCCGCAGAAGAAGCACCGGCUAACUCCGUGCCAGCAGCCGCGGUAAUACGGAGGGUGCAAGCGUUAAUCGGAAUUACUGGGCGUAAAGCGCACGCAGGCGGUCUGUCAAGUCGGAUGUGAAAUCCCCGGGCUCAACCUGGGAACUGUAUUCGAAACUGGCAGGCUAGAGUCUUGUAGAGGGGGGUAGAAUUCCAGGUGUAGCGGUGAAAUGCGUAGAGAUCUGGAGGAAUACCGGUGGCGAAGGCGGCCCCCUGGACAAAGACUGACGCUCGGGUGCGAAAGCGUGGGGAGCAAACAGGAUUAGAUACCCGAGUAGUC